UAUCAUCUGUUUCUUAAAUAUUUAUUGAAUUUGACUUUUAAGUGAAAAGGCUUAAAUAAAUCAAAAAGACGAUAAGACCCUAUAAAUCUUUACAAUAAAUAUAUUUUAUAUUUUAGCUUAUAAGUGUAUAAGAAAUAAAAAUAUAGAUUUGUUGCGCUGGGGCGGCGUAGAUAUAUAAAUAAACUGUCUAUAGUUUAAAUACAAUAAUCAUUGCUUAAUACAAAUUGAUCCUUAAAUAGAUUAAAAGAUUAAGAUACUUUAGGGAUAACAGCGUUAUUUUUUUUGAGAGUUCUUAUCGAAGAAAAAGUUUGCGACCUCGAUGUUGAAUUAAAGUAUCUCUAUGGUGUAGCCGCUAUAAGAGAGAGUCUGUUCGACUUUUAAUACUUUA
Molecule: ribosomal RNA, 388 nt
Filed under: Lithodes murrayi
Lineage: Eukaryota; Metazoa; Arthropoda; Malacostraca; Decapoda; Lithodidae
Description: partial 16S ribosomal RNA
Rfam family: Bacterial large subunit ribosomal RNA
Source: RNAcentral